RNAcentral lists this long non-coding RNA (2203 nucleotides) under Homo sapiens (human). Its description in RNAcentral is "long independently transcribed non-coding RNA 2522, transcript variant 4 (LINC02522)". Lineage: Eukaryota; Metazoa; Chordata; Mammalia; Primates; Hominidae. The record is from RNAcentral.
AACCAGCUGCAGUACUUUUUGUGUGGUGUGGAAGUGUUUGUUUUUUGCAAUAGAUUUUUGUUGCAGUUUAGGUUUGUAUUUUCUUUGUUUUGUAGUGCUUAUUAUGAAGGUUCGUAGGUUUAUGUCUGUAGGCCAGGCAGGUCAUUAAACUUAACAAAGAAUAAGUAAGUCGGGAGAGGGGAAUAGAAAUCUCCACAUACAUAUUCUUAAAAGCUGUAACACUCACCACAAAGAUCUGCUGAGUGAAGUCUGUGAGACGAACGCACCAAGUCUGGACGCUCUGUCAGGCUACAUUUUACGUUUUUGGGAGUGAGCAGGUGUUAUUCUGUUCCCCGGGUUGGUUUUGAAGUCAUGGCUCUCAAGUAAUUUUUGUGCUUCUCAAAAGUGCUGGAAUUGCAAAGAGUUCAAACAUUGAAUUAGUUGUGCAAUGGAAGGAGUAUUACCAGGACCCAGAUGCAGCCCAAGGAAAAAAGAAAACAAAAGGAGACACACACAGACACCAGAGCAUGAUGCAAGUGUGGCUUAAUCGGUGCUUGCACAUUGGGCUUGUUCUUUCCAAACCUGUUGCCCCGAUUCUGCAAGGCUAUCCUGCUGUAGAAGGAGGCCCUGGAGGACAAGACACCAUGUGGGGAAAACAGCCAUGGGGAGCAGAACCGAGGUAUCCCAGCUUAGCUCCCAACUGACAGCAGCCACAUGAGUGAGCAGAAAAACAACUUCCAAGGGUGAUUUAGCUACUGCUGCUGUGGAAUGUCAAAACUUUCAGCAAGGGAGCCCGAUGCAGAUCUGUUGAUAUGACACCAUUCCACAAGAAGACCAACUGAUGGCUUUGUGGCAAGUUGACUACACUGGGCUGUUUCUAUUCUGGGAAGACAGAGAUUUGUUCUAAGAGGAAUAGGCAUGUGUUGCAGGCAUAGGUUGACCUUUCCUGCCAUGGAGCCUCCUCUGGUACCACUAUUUGAAGGUUGAAGGAAUGUUGAUUCACCAGGAUUGAGUCAGACCAGCCAAGCCUAUGACCAUGAUGUCAACUGACUGUAUCACCUGUCACAUCAUCCAGAAGCUACAGACUUAUAAGGCAUUGGAAUAACUUGUAGAUGGCCCCGUUAAAGUACCAGCUUAGAGGCAACACUCCAUGAGAAUGAGACAUCAUCUCCAGGAUGGCACAUACACAUUGAAUCACACAGCAUUGAUAAGGAGAUGGCUCCCCAGUAGGAAGAAUAUAUUGGUCAUGAACCAAGGGAUGAAGCAGAAGUGUCUUGCUUCCUGUCCCUGCAGCCUCUCUUUCUGCAGUGCUAGAAAUCCUGGUCAAAAGGGGGCAUAAUUUUAUCAGGGGACACAGCAAAAGUCUCCACUACAUUGCAGCUAUGCCUGCUGCCUGGGGAUUUUGGGCUUCUUAUAAUUGGGACCAGCAAUAAAAGAGAAGAGUCACAGUCUUGGCAGGGCUAAUUGACCCUGAUCAGCAGGAGAAGAAAGGCUGUGGUUCCACUAUGAGGGUAGGGAAGACGUGUGGCACCACUGAUCCACUUUUGCAACCCAUGGUACUCCCGUGGCCAGUUGUGAUGACAGACAAGUGCAGGAACACUUUUGGGAAGGGCAUGGUGGCCAGAGUUCAGACCCCAUGGGAAUGAGGACCAGGGUCACACCACUGGAUAAGCCAGGAGGAAGAGAGGCCCACUGGAAGGCUGGAGGAGCUGCUCCCCAGAUGUAGAUGAAGUAGAUUUGAGCAGCACAGUGGUGGACCUAGUAGAGGCGGACAUCAAGAUCCUCUUCAAGGAAAGAUUAUCAAUAUAGUUUUCCCUGACCCAGGUGCCAUGUGUUUUCUGUCAUAUUCACGUAUGCUAAUACAUAAUUGUGCAAGUGGGGUAAUAUCUGGGACACUUCAUGGUUCAUAUCAAAACACAGAGUGAAGAGAACAUCCUCUGGGCCAUCUCAGAGUGUGAGUUUGGGGCGGGGGUGGCUCCUGGUUAACAUUUCUGUCCACUGCAGCAUUCCUUUUCCCUUUUGCUUUUAGAUUCUUCCCUUGACAUCACACCAGGAAAGUCUGACAACUUAACUUUAUUGGAUAUAGGCAACCGUUGAAUCCAAGUUUUGCCCACUGAAUCCAUCAAAUUGUUACAGCCAAUUCUAGAUGCCUGAGUGGACACAUGAAAUCCAGAUUCCCCAGUAAGCGCAUCCCCAUUAAUAAACUGACCAAAUGCAAUGUUAA